GAAGCACCUGCAAUCACCAAGAAAGAGGAUUAGGUAUCAGAAAAAGAAAGAGGAGCGAUUAGGUCAUAAUAUGUACCUGAAAGGAUGAGAAUGAUGCAGAAUAUCAAACAGAUGCCGAGUAGUAUACCAUCCAUCCCCGGCUUGCUGAAGCAGCUGCAAAAUAUGUACAGCAACAUAUUUUGCACAAAGCCUGAUCAGCUCCUCAGCUAGUGGCAUUAGAAGGGCAGUGCCGGAGAAAUCUGCUAACUGAACAGGAUUGUACAGCAACAUACAUCUAAAAGAUAGCGUUAGAUAUUUUUCCAGUUGUCUUAAUCAUUGGUCAUAAAAAGAAGGAAGAGAAUAGAUAGUAGGCCAGGAAAGAGGAAUCUCUACAGGAGCAAAACCUUUGCUAUUGAAGUUAAAAAAAAGAACCAGAAAAUAUGAGUGAAAAAAUUGAAAAUAUGUGGCUACAAGGGAGUAGAUUCAAAACCUUUAAAAAUGUAAUAAACCCUAAUCCCAGCAUACAAUCCCCAAUCUUGAACAAACAAAAUAGAAGAUAUGAAAUUUGGGUUCUCACAACCUGAGCAACCAUCAAUGCAAGAUCCCCACCCCAAUCUUCCAAAGGUCUCAAAAUUGUAUUAACUGUGGGGGAGACAAAGAACAAAUAAUCUGAAGAAAUUAAUUAUAGUAAAGACAUUAGAAAAACCAUGAAAAAGCUGAAUCUUUGAACAGAAACAAAAAGGAAUUUCAAAGCAAAGAAGGGGAGAAAGAGGCUCAGAUUCACCACUUAAUCCAGCAUUGAGUUAGCAUUCAAGUCUCUGAAACUACAAGCCUAAGCGGCUGCAUAAGUUGCCUGUAGAAUGGUAGCAGCAGAACUUCCAAGAUUGCCUUAGCCAUUUCUACUUCGCAAUGCAGCAAGACCCUUGCCUAGGAAUCAUCACAGUCCUCUUCAUAUAAACCUAAAACAGGUGCCGCUUGCCCAAUCUGGGGAACAAAAAAUGAAGAAGAAAAGAAAAGAAAGAAAGAGAAAAAUAUGCUAAGGAGGAAGAAGAANNN
Molecule: long non-coding RNA, 1035 nt
Filed under: Phoenix dactylifera (date palm)
Lineage: Eukaryota; Viridiplantae; Streptophyta; Magnoliopsida; Arecales; Arecaceae
Description: long non-coding RNA (PDAC_LNC001859)
Source: RNAcentral